GGUUGUGUAGUGUAGUGGUUAGCACUCUGGAUUUUGAUUCCAGCAACCUGGGUUCGACUCCCGGCACGACCU
This 72-nucleotide transfer RNA is filed under the name Neofusicoccum parvum UCRNP2. RNAcentral's name for it is "tRNA-Gln (TTG) (tRNA-Gln-TTG-1-1)". It matches the Rfam family "tRNA". From Rfam's summary of the family: Transfer RNA (tRNA) molecules are approximately 80 nucleotides in length. Their secondary structure includes four short double-helical elements and three loops (D, anti-codon, and T loops). Further hydrogen bonds mediate the characteristic L-shaped molecular structure. tRNAs have two regions of fundamental functional importance: the anti-codon, which is responsible for specific mRNA codon recognition, and the 3' end, to which the tRNAs corresponding amino acid is attached (by aminoacyl-tRNA synthetases). tRNAs cope with the degeneracy of the genetic code in two manners: having more than one tRNA (with a specific anti-codon) for a particular amino acid; and 'wobble' base-pairing, i.e. permitting non-standard base-pairing at the 3rd anti-codon position. Lineage: Eukaryota; Fungi; Ascomycota; Dothideomycetes; Botryosphaeriales; Botryosphaeriaceae. The record is from RNAcentral.